UACGGGGGGGGCAAGCGUUGUUCGGAAUUACUGGGCGUAAAGGGUUCGUAGGUGGCUUGUUAAGUCAGACGUGAAAUCCCUCGGCUUAACCGGGGAACUGCGUCUGAGACUGAUGAGCUCGAGUGCAGGAGAGGAACGCGGAAUUCCGGGUGGAGCGGUGAAAUGCGUAGAGAUCCGGAGGAACACCGACGGCGUAGGCAGCGCCCUAGACGAGACCUGACGCUCAGGCACGAAAGCGCGGGGAGCAAACAGG
Molecule: ribosomal RNA, 253 nt
Filed under: uncultured bacterium
Lineage: Bacteria
Description: partial 16S ribosomal RNA
Rfam family: Bacterial small subunit ribosomal RNA
Source: RNAcentral